Molecule: long non-coding RNA, 591 nt
Filed under: Gadus morhua (Atlantic cod)
Lineage: Eukaryota; Metazoa; Chordata; Actinopteri; Gadiformes; Gadidae
Description: lncRNA (ENSGMOG00000025843.1)
Source: RNAcentral
CGCUGCCGUCUCGGCCACGCCCCCUAAGGUUCAAGUGGUGUCGUCGAAUAACCGUCAUGAAUUAAGUCCUCGUUACUAACUUGUGGCUUAUCCAAUAUUGACUGUUCAUUUGGGGGCAGUUGGGGGCCAAGUGCAGUGAAAACGGAGUCAUAAUAAUACAUAUUUCCCAUGAUGUGGGUGUUGAGGGGCUAAAGGUUGAACUAGCUGUCUAAUGAUUAUUUAAUAGCAGGUGUGUCUGGAUGGUUGGAGGUGGCCCAGGGGCGACGGUUUGUUAAGCGCCGCGUCGUGAGUCAGCCGCCUGUCGUCGACGGAGAUGCUGAACAAAGCUAAGCUGCUCAUACCUCAACCAUGAGCUCACCUGGCCAGCUUGCAGCACUUGAUUCCGACCCAUCAAACCCUGGUGCAGAGGACUGACGGCCCGACGUUCCUGUACAACCCCCUUAUUGGGUGUAGGGUGUGCUGCUUGGGGCGAUGAGUCUGGGUGCUAGCGGACCGCCUCUAGCUGGCUCCGCCGCUGCCAAAGUAAACAGGCUGGAUGUGGGGCGGCCCUGUACAGCGACAGCCGGCAGUGAAGACCCUGACAACCUUUGA